ACAACUGCAGACGGUGGACCGCUCGGCUCCCGCGUCGAUGAAGAACGCAGCG
This 52-nucleotide ribosomal RNA is filed under the name Chaetognatha environmental sample. RNAcentral describes it as "partial 5.8S ribosomal RNA". Lineage: Eukaryota; Metazoa; Chaetognatha. The record is from RNAcentral.